RNAcentral lists this ribosomal RNA (253 nucleotides) under uncultured bacterium. Its description in RNAcentral is "partial 16S ribosomal RNA". It matches the Rfam family "Bacterial small subunit ribosomal RNA", at positions 524 to 776 of the family's 1533-position model. The record is from RNAcentral.
UACAGAGGUCUCAAGCGUUGUUCGGAUUCAUUGGGCGUAAAGGGUGCGUAGGUGGCGCGGUAAGUCGGGUGUGAAAUCUCGGAGCUUAACUCCGAAAUUGCAUUCGAUACUGCCGUGCUCGAGGACUGGAGAGGAGACUGGAAUUCAUGGUGUAGCAGUGAAAUGCGUAGAGAUCAUGAGGAAGACCAGUGGCGAAGGCGGGUCUCUGGGCCGAUACUGACGCUGAGGAGCGAAAGCGUGGGGAGCAAACAGG